Molecule: ribosomal RNA, 253 nt
Filed under: uncultured bacterium
Lineage: Bacteria
Description: partial 16S ribosomal RNA
Rfam family: Bacterial small subunit ribosomal RNA
Source: RNAcentral
UACAGAGGUCUCAAGCGUUGUUCGGAUUCAUUGGGCGUAAAGGGUGCGUAGGUGGCGCCGUAAGUCGGGUGUGAAAUUUCGGAGCUUAACUCCGAAACUGCAUUCGAUACUGCGGUGCUUGAGGACUGGAGAGGAGACUGGAAUUCAUGGUGUAGCAGUGAAAUGCGUAGAGAUCAUGAGGAACACCAGUGGCGAAGGCGGCUCACUGGACUGGUACUGACGCUGAGGCGCGAAAGCGUGGGGAGCAAACGGG